AGGUAGGGUAUGGGGUUAUAUUAUAGUCUACAGGGCUAUGAGGUAGGGUAUGGGGUUAUAUUAUAGUCUACAGGGCUGUGAGGUAGGGUAUGGGGUUAUAUUAUAGGCUACAGGGCUAUGAGGUAGGGUAUGGGGUUAUAUUAUAGUCUACAGGGUUAUGAGGUAGGGUAUGGGGUUAUAUUAUAGUCUACAGGGCUAUGAGGUAGGGUAUGGGGUUAUAUUAUAGUCUACAGGGCUGUGAGGUAGGGUAUGGGGUUAUAUUAUAGUCUACAGGGUUAUGAGGUAGGGUAUGGGGUUAUAUUAUAGUCUACAGGGUUAUGAGGUAGGGUAUGGGGUUAUAUUAUAGUCUACAGGGUUAUGAGGUAGGGUAUGGGGUUAUAUUAUAGUCUACAGGGUAAUGAGGUAGGGUAUGGGGUUAUAUUAUAGUCUACAGGGCUAUGAGAUAGGGUAUGGGGUUAUAUUAUAGUCUACAGGGUUAUGAGGUAGGGUAUGGGGUUAUAUUAUAGUCUACAGGGUUAUGAGGUAGGGUAUGGGGUUAUAUUAUAGUCUACAGGGCUAUGAGGUAGGGUAUGGGGUUAUAUUAUAGUCUACAGGGCUAUGAGGUAGGGUAUGGGGUUAUAUUAUAGUCUACAGGGCUAUGGGGUAGGGUAUGGGGUUAUAUUAUAGUCUACAGGGUUGUGAGGUAGGGUAUGGGGUUAUAUUAUAGUCUACAGGGCUAUGAGGUAGGGUAUGGGGUUAUAUUAUAGGCUACAGGGCUAUGAGGUAGGGUAUGGGGUUAUAUUAUAGUCUACAGGGCUAUGAGUUAGGGUAUGGGGUUAUAUUAUAGUCUUCAGGGUUAUGAGGUAGGGUAUGGGGUUAUAUUAUAGUCUACAGGGUUAUGACGUAGGGUAUGGGGUUAUAUUAUAGUCUACAGGGCUAUGAGGUAGGGUAUGGGGUUAUAUUAUAGUCUACAGGGUUAUGAGGUAAGGUAUGGGGUUAUAUUAUAGUCUACAGGGCUGUGAGGUAGGGUAUGGGGUUAUAUUAUAGUCUAUGGGGUUAUGAGGUAGGGUAUGGGGUUAUAUUAUAGUCUACAGGGCUAUGAAGUAGGGUAUGGGGUUAUAUUAUAGUCUAUGGGGUUAUGAGGUAGGGUAUGGGGUUAUAUUAUAGUCUACAGGGCUAUGAGGUAGGGUAUGGGGUUAUAUUAUAGUCUACAGGGUUAUGAGGUAGGGUAUGGGGUUAUAUUAUAGGCUACAGGGUUAUGAGGUAGGGUAUGGGGUUAUAUUAUAGUCUACAGGGCUAUGAGGUAGGGUAUGGGGUUAUAUUAUAGUCUACAGGGUUAUGAGGUAGGGUAUGGGGUUAUAUUAUAGGCUACAGGGUUAUGAGGUAGGGUAUGGGGUUAUAUUAUAGUCUACAGGGUUAUGAGGUAGGGUAUGGGGUUAUAUUAUAGGCUACAGGGUUAUGAGGUAGGGUAUGGGAGAUUGACUGCACAUGGGCGUGAUUAUUGUCUUUGCGCUCUUUCACUUCCCUGAGAAAGAUGUGUAUCAGGUAAACUAGUUUCUUUGAAAAAUAAAAGUCCUUCUCGUAAAUUCGGCCAAGUAAAAGUGAC
RNAcentral lists this long non-coding RNA (1585 nucleotides) under Salmo salar (Atlantic salmon). RNAcentral's name for it is "lncRNA (ENSSSAG00000115528.1)". The record is from RNAcentral. Lineage: Eukaryota; Metazoa; Chordata; Actinopteri; Salmoniformes; Salmonidae.